Long non-coding RNA from Juglans microcarpa x Juglans regia, 462 nucleotides. RefSeq lists it as uncharacterized. The record is from RefSeq and is a predicted model, not a curated record. Lineage: Eukaryota; Viridiplantae; Streptophyta; Magnoliopsida; Fagales; Juglandaceae. The transcript has 2 exons.
CAUGCUAUGGAAGACAAAACCUUGGUGUGAUGGUAGCGGGAGCAAGUGAUGCGAUAUGGGGGAAUCGAGCAGCCUGUGGGAGAAAUUACAGAAUUAAAUGCAUCGGAGGCGCAAACUUGGCGCCACAUCCUUGCAAGUCUGGUGACGUUGUGGUUAAAAUUGUGGAUUACUGUUCGUCACCAUGCAAUGGAACUAUAAGUCUCUCUAGAGAUGCUUUCUCCAAAAUAGCUGAUCUUGAUGCCGGAAAAGUCAAAAUUGAGUAUUUUCCGGCUUGAAGUUCUCUGGCCUAGAACAUGACCUCCUGACAAGGGGUUUUUGAAAAAAGUGAAAUAAGCAGCUAGCUAGCUCAUGGAUGAAACUUCUAUCUAGUCAAUGCAUGCCAACAUGAUGUAGAAAUCACUGUAUAUGCAAGCGAUAUAUGUUCAGUUCAGUGCUGCAAUAAAGAGAGGCCUUAGUUCUUUA